This 433-nucleotide ribosomal RNA is filed under the name uncultured bacterium. RNAcentral describes it as "partial 16S ribosomal RNA". It matches the Rfam family "Bacterial small subunit ribosomal RNA", at positions 29 to 507 of the family's 1533-position model. The record is from RNAcentral.
AGCGAACGCUGGCGGCAGGCUUAACACAUGCAAGUCGAGCGGGCACUUCGGUGUCAGCGGCAGACGGGUGAGUAACACGUGGGAACGUACCCUUCGGUUCGGAAUAACGCUGGGAAACUAGCGCUAAUACCGGAUACGCCCUCUUGGGGAAAGGUUUACUGCCGAAGGAUCGGCCCGCGUCUGAUUAGCUAGUUGGUGGGGUAAUGGCCUACCAAGGCGACGAUCAGUAGCUGGUCUGAGAGGAUGAUCAGCCACACUGGGACUGAGACACGGCCCAGACUCCUACGGGAGGCAGCAGUGGGGAAUAUUGGACAAUGGGCGCAAGCCUGAUCCAGCCAGGCCGCGUGAGUGAUGAAGGCCUUAGGGUUGUAAAGCUCUUUUGUCCGGGACGAUAAUGACGGUACCGGAAGAAUAAGCCCCGGCUAACUUCGUG